This 503-nucleotide ribosomal RNA is filed under the name uncultured bacterium. Its description in RNAcentral is "partial 16S ribosomal RNA". It matches the Rfam family "Bacterial small subunit ribosomal RNA", at positions 29 to 522 of the family's 1533-position model. The record is from RNAcentral.
AUUGAACGCUGGCGGCAGGCCUAACACAUGCAAGUCGAACGGUAGCACAGAGAGCUUGCUCUCGGGUGACGAGUGGCGGACGGGUGAGUAACGUCUGGGAAACUGCCCGAUGGAGGGGGAUAACUACUGGAAACGGUAGCUAAUACCGCAUAACGUCGCAAGACCAAAGUGGGGGACCUUCGGGCCUCACACCAUCGGAUGUGCCCAGAUGGGAUUAGCUAGUAGGUGGGGUAAUGGCUCACCUAGGCGACGAUCCCUAGCUGGUCUGAGAGGAUGCCCAGCCACACGGGAACUGAGACACGGUCAAGACUCCUACGGGAGGCAGCAGGGGGGAAUAUUGCACAAUGGGCGCAAGCCUGAUGCAGCCAUGCCGCGUGUAUGAAGAAGGCCUUCGGUUUGUAAAGUACUUUCAGCGGGGAGGAAGGCGGUGAAGUUAAUAACUUCACCGAUUGACGUUACCCGCAGAAGAAGCACCGGCUAACUCCGUGCCAGCCGCCGCGGUA